GGAACCAAAUGUCAAAACAUAAGGGAAAGCCUCUGAGGAGGACAGCUAAAAAUAACUUUCCUUCACUAUUCCAUGAUACUCUGGGCGCAGGCUUAGCAAAUAGCCUGUUGCCUCGUUCCUGUAGAAGCCCACUCCAUAGUCACAGUAGGCACUGACAAUCCAACAGGACAUUCCUUCUCCCGGGACCUGAGCUGGGGGUCAUCAUCCUUCUCAUCACAACCAAACACUUCAGGAGUGAAAUAUGAAGCCUGGUCUCCAGCUGAGAAUGAGGAUGGAGUAGGAGAAGCUGGUGGUUUUUUGAGGGACAAGAAGGCUGGAAUGCAGAGGCACAAUCAUAGCUCUGCAGCCUCAACUUCCUGGCUGGGCUCAAGUGAUCCUCUCACCUCAGCCUCCUGAGCAACUGGGACUACAGGCAAGAGCUACCAUGCCUGGCUGUGUGUGUGUGUGUGUGUGUGUGUGUGUGUGUGUGUGUGUAGACAAAUUCUCACUAUUUGCACAGGCUGGUCUCAAACCCCUGGACUCAAGCAGUCCUCCUGCCUCAGCUUCAUAAAGUGCUGGGAUUACAGGUGUGAGUCACUGCACCUGUCUGAAUUUAAUUUUUAUUUUAUAGAGUGAGGACAUACAAGGUUUGAAUGGAACUUAAAGAAUGCAUAAAAUAUUCUCUAUGAAAAUCUAUGGAGUUGAGAGAGAGCAUUAGAAAAAAUACCUGAUGCAUGUUGGCUUAAUACCUAGGUGAUAGGUUGAUAGGUGCAGCAGAUCACCAUGGAACACAUUUACCUGUGUUAACAAACCUGCACAUCUUGCACUUGUACACCAGAUCUUAAAAUUUAAAAAAUAAAUUAAAAAGAAAGAAAGAAAAAUAUCUGCUUAGUGGUAUGGCACAUAUUACUGUUGGUUUACUUAAGACCACCUCCAUCUAUUCUUUCUCAACCUGGAACCCUUGGGAAUCUAUCCCUCAGGACCAUGUAGAGUCAUGUCAGACUUGAUGGAAAGAACCACCUUUCCGUUGAAUACACCUAGGGUAAAACACCUAGAGCAAUGGACCUAGAGCUGGGUACAAAACUGAAUGAAAUGUUGAGAUGUCUCCCUUUAAGCAGCAAAUAAAUACAUUUCAUGUAGAGAUAUAUUCAUCCAGUUACUGGAUAACCUCCAGGGAAAGGGAACUCAAAAUAGACCACUCCAUUCCUGGUAAGCUCUGAAUGUUAGGAAAUAUUUUCAUUAUAAACAGCUGAGUAUUAGUCAUGAAACUUUCAGUUAAAAGUCACAGCUCUUCCACUCAAAUUUUCAUGAUUUUUAAGAAUGGAGUAAUUGAAAAGUCCACCAGAAAUGUUUACCCACAGCUGAAUCCAGCAAUUCGAUGGCCCUGGGAAGACUACCUGACCUGAUGUGUGCCACACAUACAUCUGUCAUCCAAUCACUACAGCUAGGAGCAUGGAGGAUUCUGACCCACCAGUUUCUGGUCAAACACUCAUUCCUAGGGACUAAGUAGGUGGGGUGAAAGGAAUAAGCUCCCCUUAACCACAGGG
Molecule: long non-coding RNA, 1526 nt
Filed under: Callithrix jacchus (white-tufted-ear marmoset)
Lineage: Eukaryota; Metazoa; Chordata; Mammalia; Primates; Cebidae
Description: lncRNA (ENSCJAG00000085879.1)
Source: RNAcentral